GAACUUGAUCUGCGUCAGUGAUCCGUGGGGUGCCGGGGCAGCCUUUUCCGGCCAUUGACACAAGUCAAUAUCGGCGCCCCCCACGCCGCUAACCUGAGCCCAUCAACCAAGCAGACAGGGCAACAGGAGGCCAGCAUCAUGUUCAUCGACGAGGUGGUUCUUGCCGGAGUGAUUACGGUUGGCCUGAUGGUCCUGUUUUUCGGUGGUGUCGGAUAUUUCAUCUGGAAGGACUCGCAUCGUCACUGAGACGACGAUCCUUUCGGAUUACACAGAGCACGCAAGGCACUUAGGGCGACUUCGAGUCGCCCGUU
RNAcentral lists this unclassified non-coding RNA (311 nucleotides) under Pseudomonas panipatensis. RNAcentral's name for it is "Pseudomonas sRNA P20". The stretch from base 102 to 311 matches the Rfam family "PhrS". The record is from RNAcentral. Lineage: Bacteria; Pseudomonadati; Pseudomonadota; Gammaproteobacteria; Pseudomonadales; Pseudomonadaceae.